GCGCCCGUAGCUCAAUUGGAUAGAGCGCCUCACUACGGAUGAGGAGGUUGCAGGUUCAACUCCUACCGGGCGCACCA
RNAcentral lists this transfer RNA (77 nucleotides) under Candidatus Omnitrophota bacterium. RNAcentral describes it as "tRNA-Arg". It matches the Rfam family "tRNA". Rfam says of the family: Transfer RNA (tRNA) molecules are approximately 80 nucleotides in length. Their secondary structure includes four short double-helical elements and three loops (D, anti-codon, and T loops). Further hydrogen bonds mediate the characteristic L-shaped molecular structure. tRNAs have two regions of fundamental functional importance: the anti-codon, which is responsible for specific mRNA codon recognition, and the 3' end, to which the tRNAs corresponding amino acid is attached (by aminoacyl-tRNA synthetases). tRNAs cope with the degeneracy of the genetic code in two manners: having more than one tRNA (with a specific anti-codon) for a particular amino acid; and 'wobble' base-pairing, i.e. permitting non-standard base-pairing at the 3rd anti-codon position. Lineage: Bacteria; Pseudomonadati; Candidatus Omnitrophota. The record is from RNAcentral.